This 2774-nucleotide ribosomal RNA is filed under the name Escherichia coli. RNAcentral's name for it is "bacterial LSU rRNA". It matches the Rfam family "Bacterial large subunit ribosomal RNA". The record is from RNAcentral. Lineage: Bacteria; Pseudomonadati; Pseudomonadota; Gammaproteobacteria; Enterobacterales; Enterobacteriaceae.
AGCGUACACGGUGGAUGCCCUGGCAGUCAGAGGCGAUGAAGGACGUGCUAAUCUGCGAUAAGCGUCGGUAAGGUGAUAUGAACCGUUAUAACCGGCGAUUUCCGAAUGGGGAAACCCAGUGUGUUUCGACACACUAUCAUUAACUGAAUCCAUAGGUUAAUGAGGCGAACCGGGGGAACUGAAACAUCUAAGUACCCCGAGGAAAAGAAAUCAACCGAGAUUCCCCCAGUAGCGGCGAGCGAACGGGGAGGAGCCCAGAGCCUGAAUCAGUGUGUGUGUUAGUGGAAGCGUCUGGAAAGGCGCGCGAUACAGGGUGACAGCCCCGUACACAAAAAUGCACAUACUGUGAGCUCGAUGAGUAGGGCGGGACACGUGGUAUCCUGUCUGAAUAUGGGGGGACCAUCCUCCAAGGCUAAAUACUCCUGACUGACCGAUAGUGAACCAGUACCGUGAGGGAAAGGCGAAAAGAACCCCGGCGAGGGGAGUGAAAAAGAACCUGAAACCGUGUACGUACAAGCAGUGGGAGCCUCUUUAUGGGGUGACUGCGUACCUUUUGUAUAAUGGGUCAGCGACUUAUAUUCUGUAGCAAGGUUAACCGAAUAGGGGAGCCGAAGGGAAACCGAGUCUUAACUGGGCGUUAAGUUGCAGGGUAUAGACCCGAAACCCGGUGAUCUAGCCAUGGGCAGGUUGAAGGUUGGGUAACACUAACUGGAGGACCGAACCGACUAAUGUUGAAAAAUUAGCGGAUGACUUGUGGCUGGGGGUGAAAGGCCAAUCAAACCGGGAGAUAGCUGGUUCUCCCCGAAAGCUAUUUAGGUAGCGCCUCGUGAAUUCAUCUCCGGGGGUAGAGCACUGUUUCGGCAAGGGGGUCAUCCCGACUUACCAACCCGAUGCAAACUGCGAAUACCGGAGAAUGUUAUCACGGGAGACACACGGCGGGUGCUAACGUCCGUCGUGAAGAGGGAAACAACCCAGACCGCCAGCUAAGGUCCCAAAGUCAUGGUUAAGUGGGAAACGAUGUGGGAAGGCCCAGACAGCCAGGAUGUUGGCUUAGAAGCAGCCAUCAUUUAAAGAAAGCGUAAUAGCUCACUGGUCGAGUCGGCCUGCGCGGAAGAUGUAACGGGGCUAAACCAUGCACCGAAGCUGCGGCAGCGACGCUUAUGCGUUGUUGGGUAGGGGAGCGUUCUGUAAGCCUGUGAAGGUGUACUGUGAGGUAUGCUGGAGGUAUCAGAAGUGCGAAUGCUGACAUAAGUAACGAUAAAGCGGGUGAAAAGCCCGCUCGCCGGAAGACCAAGGGUUCCUGUCCAACGUUAAUCGGGGCAGGGUGAGUCGACCCCUAAGGCGAGGCCGAAAGGCGUAGUCGAUGGGAAACAGGUUAAUAUUCCUGUACUUGGUGUUACUGCGAAGGGGGGACGGAGAAGGCUAUGUUGGCCGGGCGACGGUUGUCCCGGUUUAAGCGUGUAGGCUGGUUUUCCAGGCAAAUCCGGAAAAUCAAGGCUGAGGCGUGAUGACGAGGCACUACGGUGCUGAAGCAACAAAUGCCCUGCUUCCAGGAAAAGCCUCUAAGCAUCAGGUAACAUCAAAUCGUACCCCAAACCGACACAGGUGGUCAGGUAGAGAAUACCAAGGCGCUUGAGAGAACUCGGGUGAAGGAACUAGGCAAAAUGGUGCCGUAACUUCGGGAGAAGGCACGCUGAUAUGUAGGUGAAGCGACUUGCUCGUGGAGCUGAAAUCAGUCGAAGAUACCAGCUGGCUGCAACUGUUUAUUAAAAACACAGCACUGUGCAAACACGAAAGUGGACGUAUACGGUGUGACGCCUGCCCGGUGCCGGAAGGUUAAUUGAUGGGGUUAGCGGUAACGCGAAGCUCUUGAUCGAAGCCCCGGUAAACGGCGGCCGUAACUAUAACGGUCCUAAGGUAGCGAAAUUCCUUGUCGGGUAAGUUCCGACCUGCACGAAUGGCGUAAUGAUGGCCAGGCUGUCUCCACCCGAGACUCAGUGAAAUUGAACUCGCUGUGAAGAUGCAGUGUACCCGCGGCAAGACGGAAAGACCCCGUGAACCUUUACUAUAGCUUGACACUGAACAUUGAGCCUUGAUGUGUAGGAUAGGUGGGAGGCUUUGAAGUGUGGACGCCAGUCUGCAUGGAGCCGGCCUUGAAAUACCACCCUUUAAUGUUUGAUGUUCUAACGUUGGCCCCUGAUCGGGGUUGCGGACAGUGUCUGGUGGGUAGUUUGACUGGGGCGGUCUCCUCCUAAAGAGUAACGGAGGAGCACGAAGGUUGGCUAAUCCUGGUCGGACAUCAGGAGGUUAGUGCAAUGGCAUAAGCCAGCUUGACUGCGAGCGUGACGGCGCGAGCAGGUGCGAAAGCAGGUCAUAGUGAUCCGGUGGUUCUGAAUGGAAGGGCCAUCGCUCAACGGAUAAAAGGUACUCCGGGGAUAACAGGCUGAUACCGCCCAAGAGUUCAUAUCGACGGCGGUGUUUGGCACCUCGAUGUCGGCUCAUCACAUCCUGGGGCUGAAGUAGGUCCCAAGGGUAUGGCUGUUCGCCAUUUAAAGUGGUACGCGAGCUGGGUUUAGAACGUCGUGAGACAGUUCGGUCCCUAUCUGCCGUGGGCGCUGGAGAACUGAGGGGGGCUGCUCCUAGUACGAGAGGACCGGAGUGGACGCAUCACUGGUGUUCGGGUUGUCAUGCCAAUGGCACUGCCCGGUAGCUAAAUGCGGAAGAGAUAAGUGCUGAAAGCAUCUAAGCACGAAACUUGCCCCGAGAUGAGUUCU